Equus asinus (donkey) is the source of this 2323-nucleotide long non-coding RNA. NCBI's taxonomy places the organism in Eukaryota, Metazoa, Chordata, Mammalia, Perissodactyla, Equidae. The record is from Ensembl.
UGUACUGGCCACAGCAAGCUUAGGAUGACGUCCAGAGUGAACGCACGGGGCUAGGAGCAAACAUUGGACUUGGUGAAUAAGGGAGGACAUGUGCAGGUAAUUGUUUCCUGAACUAGAAAAGUCUCUGAUCUGGCUUGUGAAUUCAAUCAAAAAGAGCACUUCGAUCUUAUAAAACCAACUGAAAGAACCACUUCUCCUUGUUUGUAUGAAGAGAAGUCAGUAAGGAGUGACUCUCAGAAGACAACUGGAGUGAGGAUACAUGGUGCCACCAUGCCCCCACAAAGCUGAAUAAAGUCUCCCCUGGUCCAGGAUCCCAGUCCUGCCUGAGACCCAGGACAUAAAUACGUUCUAUGGUGGGAUCAGGGUCAUCAAGGUCUGCAUGGUCCCUGUUUCUCUUCUACCCUGAGCUCUUCCUUCUGACUCUCACAGCAACAGCACCUCCCAAGGUUCCAGCUUCCCUUCAAAGUCACUGUUGGAGUGUUUCUCUGACUCUACAGAAAGCACCAUUCCUGGAAUGCAGUACACUGCAGCUGCUCCGAGGCAGCCAUUUGGGGCUGAGAAAGCAGCUCUCCACUGCUUCCUCCAAAGGCAGGAGCAGUCCAGUGGCGGGACUGCCCAUGAGUCUCCUCGUCAACAGACCCUGAGCCUCUGAUGUAAGAAGCCAGAUGUGAUGGAGAUAGGUAGGCUCUGCUUACUGCCUGUCACUCUGAGAGACUGGCCUUCUCUCAAGGGAGAGCUCGACGUCACCAUUGUUGGUGGUUUGCCAAGAGAGUGCCAUGGGCCGCCAGGACAAGAUGAAGCAAAGCAGGUCGACAACUCUGUCUUGCUGCUGUGCCUACACGCUUGUUCUUCUGUCAGCUUCACAAGCUGGUCCCCCCUCUUCUCCAGGCGUAUUCCCACACAUCCUGUUGGUCUCAUCUUUUGUACGGCUUCCUCUGCAAAGCAUUCCUGGACUUCCCAAGUCUGGCUUAGAUGUUCCUGGGAAGAAUUCCCAACACCUCCUAUGAGUCACUGCCUUGUGGUUAGGAUAAAUCCAGGACUUUAUAGAGAUUAUUUCUUUCUUUUGACACAGCAGCUGUAUGGAGCUGUUUUCGGUCAAGGACACUUGCCUUUGGCUGGAAAAAUACUAAAAUUUUGCUUUUUCGUUUUGUAAUUAGUGAGCAAUGAGGCAACAGAACCCCCCUUAUCCCACAUCUCACGGGAUGCUGUCACAUGAUAGAAGCUUAAGAAAUUUAUGUAUUAAAAGGAUAAGGAAAUGAAUGAAUUCCACAUUGUAUUGCAUAACCAACACUCCCCUCUCUCUCAUGCUUCCAUUUUAGUGAAUGGUUAAUGUGGAACCAAGAAUCAAAUCAAGUUAUUCUAUAACUCAGCUUAAACCUAGUACAUUGUAUUUUAAGGGGGGAUUCCUGAAAGCACAAACUGACUCAGAAACAGAGUCCAGUUUCGAGGGAACUAUUCUCUGUUAGGGAGAAGAGCUUGAAUUGACUCUCAUCUAACUUGGAUUUACAACCUGCAGAUUACAUUCACUUGUUGAGACGUGUAUUGAGUUCCUAGUAUGUGUCAAGCUCUAUUCUAGAAGCUGGGGUUAAUGGCGAUGAACAAACAUGCAAGAACCUGUCACUCAAGUGGAAGAAGGCAGACAAUCCAGAAGGAAAUUAGAUAGUUUUAAAAGGUGGUAAAUGCCACAGAAAAUAAAGCAGGUAAUAAGGCUUUGGUGGGAUUCAAGGAGGAAGUACUUCAGUUAGGGAAGUGAUUUCCAAUGCACAAUCUGGGAACAAGAAUGAGUUCCAGGGGCCAGCCCGGUGGCACAGCAGUUAAGUGUGCACAUUCUGCUUUGGUGGCCUGGGGUUCACCGGUUCGAAUCCUGGGUGCGGACAUGGCACUGCUUGGCAAGCCAUGCUGUGGUAGCUGUCCCACGUAUAAAAUAGAGGAAGAUGGGCAUAGAUGUUAGCUCAGGGCCAGUCUUCCUCAAAAAAAAAAAAAAAAAGAAUGAGUUCCAUUGCCAGGGCAAUAAGGGGAUGGAAUAUCCCAAUCUAGGAGAGGCAUAUCUCUAAUUAUACAUACAUAAUUGACAACGUGAUUUAAAGAUUAGUCAUUUGGUUAGUUUGAUUCAUUUUAAUAAUUUCCAAGAGCCUGAAUAAUUCUGUGUAUACUGACUAAAUUUGAUUUUCGACUGCAAGUGCUGAGAGCCAGACUCCAGAAUGUGGUGCCCAUCCCAAAGUAUUGUUGCUCGUGGACGCCUGACUAGAACAUUGUCCAGCAACUAGAAUGGCCCCAUUCCUUCAUUACUUUCUCACAUCCUGACCCACAAUUUCACUAACUG